CACUGCUCACUUCUGUUAUACAAUGCUGAUCUCAAAAGCUAAGUUAGAUUGGACCUGGUUAGCACUGGAUGGAAGACCGCUGGGAAUACAGAUGCAGCAGUGA
This 103-nucleotide ribosomal RNA is filed under the name Periophthalmus magnuspinnatus. Lineage: Eukaryota; Metazoa; Chordata; Actinopteri; Gobiiformes; Gobiidae. The record is from RNAcentral.